This 502-nucleotide ribosomal RNA is filed under the name uncultured bacterium. RNAcentral describes it as "bacterial SSU rRNA". It matches the Rfam family "Bacterial small subunit ribosomal RNA", at positions 8 to 507 of the family's 1533-position model. The record is from RNAcentral.
AGAGUUUGAUCCUGGCUCAGAUUGAACGCUGGCGGAAUGCUUUACACAUGCAAGUCGAACGGCAGCACGGGGCAACCUGGUGGCGAGUGGCGAACGGGUGAGUAAUACAUCGGAACGUGCCCAAUCGUGGGGGAUAACGUAGCGAAAGUUACGCUAAUACCGCAUACGAUCCACGGAUGAAAGCGGGGGAUCGCAAGACCUCGCGCGAGUGGAGCGGCCGAUGUCAGAUUAGGUAGUUGGUGGGGUAAAGGCUCACCAAGCCAACGAUCUGUAGCUGGUCUGAGAGGACGACCAGCCACACUGGAACUGAGACACGGUCCAGACUCCUACGGGAGGCAGCAGUGGGGAAUUUUGGACAAUGGGCGCAAGCCUGAUCCAGCCAUUCCGCGUGCAGGAUGGAGGCCUUCGGGUUGUAAACUGCUUUUGUACGGAACGAAACGGCGAGCUCUAAUACAGUUUGCUAAUGACGGUACCGUAAGAAUAAGCACCGGCUAACUACGUG